UUGACGGGACCGCACAAGCGGUGGAUGAUGUGGUUUAAUUCGAUAGCAACGCGAAAACCUUACCACCUUUGACAUGUACGGAAUCCUUUAGAGAUAGAGGAGUGCUCGAAAGAGAACCGUAACACAGGUGCUGCAUGGCUGUCGUCAGCUCGUGUCGUGAGAUGUUGGGUUAAGUCCCGCAACGAGCGCAACCCUUGUCAUUAGUUGCUACAUUCAGUUGGGCACUCUAAUGAGACUGCCGGUGACAAACCGGAGGAAGGUGGGGAUGACGUCAAGUCCUCAUGGCCCUUAUGGGUAGGGCUUCACACGUCAUACAAUGGUCGGUACAGAGGGUUGCCAACCCGCGAGGGGGAGCUAAUCCCACAAAGCCGAUCGUAGUCCGGAUCGCAGUCUGCAACUCGACUGCGUGAAGUCGGAAUCGCUAGUAAUCGUGGAUCAGCAUGUCACGGUGAAUACGUUCCCGGGUCUU
This 469-nucleotide ribosomal RNA is filed under the name uncultured Acidovorax sp. Its description in RNAcentral is "bacterial SSU rRNA". It matches the Rfam family "Bacterial small subunit ribosomal RNA", at positions 910 to 1382 of the family's 1533-position model. Lineage: Bacteria; Pseudomonadati; Pseudomonadota; Betaproteobacteria; Burkholderiales; Comamonadaceae. The record is from RNAcentral.